This 301-nucleotide ribosomal RNA is filed under the name uncultured bacterium. RNAcentral's name for it is "partial 16S ribosomal RNA". It matches the Rfam family "Bacterial small subunit ribosomal RNA", at positions 509 to 807 of the family's 1533-position model. The record is from RNAcentral.
CAGUAGCCGCGGGAAUACGUAGGGUGCAAGCGUUAUCCGGAAUUAUUGGGCGUAAAGAGCUCGUAGGCGGUUUGUCGCGUCUGCCGUGAAAGUCCGGGGCUCAACCCCGGAUCUGCGGUGGGUACGGGCAGACUAGAGUGAUGUAGGGGAGACUGGAAUUCCUGGUGUAGCGGUGAAAUGCGCAGAUAUCAGGAGGAACACCGAUGGCGAAGGCAGGUCUCUGGGCAUUAACUGACGCUGAGGAGCGAAAGCAUGGGGAGCGAACAGGAUUAGAUACCCGCGUAGUCCCUGUCUCUUAUAC